GUUGUUGGCCGAUUCCCGCAAUGGCACUGGAAGAAUUCACGGGUCGCAAUUAAAUUUGACAGAUUUGAAUUUCUGGAAAAUGACACACUCGUGGAUCUUCA
This 101-nucleotide microRNA precursor is filed under the name Daphnia pulex (common water flea). Its description in RNAcentral is "microRNA dpu-mir-263a precursor". Its record names the gene dpu-mir-263a. Lineage: Eukaryota; Metazoa; Arthropoda; Branchiopoda; Diplostraca; Daphniidae. The record is from miRBase by way of RNAcentral.